This 180-nucleotide ribosomal RNA is filed under the name uncultured Glomeromycotina. Its description in RNAcentral is "partial small subunit ribosomal RNA". The record is from RNAcentral. Lineage: Eukaryota; Fungi; Glomeromycota.
GACCUGGCUGGGCGGUCUUGCCGAAAGGUAAGCACUGCUCUGGUCGGGUCUUUCCUUCUGGGGAACCAGCGUGCGCUUAAUUGAGUGCGCAGGGGAUCCAGGACUUUUACUUUGAAAAAAUUAGAGUGUUCAAAGCAGGCUAUCGCCCGAAUACAUUAGCAUGGAAUAAUAAAAUAGGAC